Molecule: ribosomal RNA, 428 nt
Filed under: uncultured bacterium
Lineage: Bacteria
Description: partial 16S ribosomal RNA
Rfam family: Bacterial small subunit ribosomal RNA
Source: RNAcentral
GUGGGGAAUAUUGGGCAAUGGGGGCAACCCUGACCCAGCGACGCCGCGUGAGGGAAGAAGGCCUUAGGGUCGUAAACCUCUGUUGUGUGGGAAGAAGGAAGUGACGGUACCACACGAGGAAGUCCCGGCUAACUACGUGCCAGCAGCCGCGGUAAAACGUAGGUGGCGAACGUUAUUCGGAUUUACUGGGCGUAAAGCGGGUGUAGACGGCUGUUUAAGUCGAAUGUGAAAUCUCCUGACCUAAUCAGGAUGGGUCGUUCGAUACUGAAUAGCUCGAGGGCAUCAGAGGAAGACAGAAUUCCCGGUGUAGCGGUGAAAUGCGUAGAUAUCGGGAGGAAUACCAGUGGCGAAGGCGGUCUUCUAGGAUGUUCCUGACGUUGAGGCCCAAAAGCGUGGGGAGCAAAACGGAUUAGAUACCCUGGUAGUCC